RNAcentral lists this ribosomal RNA (301 nucleotides) under uncultured bacterium. Its description in RNAcentral is "partial 16S ribosomal RNA". It matches the Rfam family "Bacterial small subunit ribosomal RNA", at positions 509 to 809 of the family's 1533-position model. The record is from RNAcentral.
CAGCCGCCGCGGUAAUACGAAGGGUGCAAGCGUUAAUCGGAAUUACUGGGCGUAAAGCGUGCGUAGGCGGUUUGUUAAGUCUGCUGUGAAAUCCCUGGGCUCAACCUGGGACGUGCAGUGGAAACUGGCAAGCUAGAGUGUGAUAGAGGAUGGUGGAAUUCCCGGUGUAGCGGUGAAAUGCGUAGAGAUCGGGAAGAACAUCAGUGGCGAAGGCGGCCAUCUGGAUCAACACUGACGCUGAGGCACGAAAGCGUGGGGAGCAAACAGGAUUAGAUACCCCAGUAGUCCCUGUCUCUUAUAA